GGGAGGAAAGCAUAAAGUGUGCAAUUAACUUGAAAUUAAUAGGUGGCAGUUAAAGUCUGUCUCUUCUCG
RNAcentral lists this transfer RNA (69 nucleotides) under Crotalus adamanteus (eastern diamondback rattlesnake). RNAcentral describes it as "tRNA-Ser". It matches the Rfam family "tRNA". From Rfam's summary of the family: Transfer RNA (tRNA) molecules are approximately 80 nucleotides in length. Their secondary structure includes four short double-helical elements and three loops (D, anti-codon, and T loops). Further hydrogen bonds mediate the characteristic L-shaped molecular structure. tRNAs have two regions of fundamental functional importance: the anti-codon, which is responsible for specific mRNA codon recognition, and the 3' end, to which the tRNAs corresponding amino acid is attached (by aminoacyl-tRNA synthetases). tRNAs cope with the degeneracy of the genetic code in two manners: having more than one tRNA (with a specific anti-codon) for a particular amino acid; and 'wobble' base-pairing, i.e. permitting non-standard base-pairing at the 3rd anti-codon position. The record is from RNAcentral. Lineage: Eukaryota; Metazoa; Chordata; Lepidosauria; Squamata; Viperidae.